Long non-coding RNA from Raphanus sativus (radish), 543 nucleotides. RefSeq lists it as uncharacterized. NCBI's taxonomy places the organism in Eukaryota, Viridiplantae, Streptophyta, Magnoliopsida, Brassicales, Brassicaceae. The transcript is spliced from 2 exons. The record is from RefSeq and is a predicted model, not a curated record.
UCUUAAUUUUCAUUCUUUUUUUUGCAUCUUUUAUUGUCAUUGUAUUAUACAUAGUUUGUUUAGUUCGUAAUUUUCUUUUGUUUUGUUCCUUCAGAUUCUAAUUAUUUGUUUAUCGUCAACAAGCUAAUAAUAUGUGUUUGUUUGUGUACGGACUAAGCUAAUGUAACUAAUGGAUGCGUAGCAUAACAAAAAGAAGAAGAAGAGAAGUCUAAUAUUGGUAUUUCAAAGAAAACGUUAUGAAAGGUUGGUUACUAAAGAAGAGUCCCAAAUACAAAAAAGACCGAACGGAAGAAACAAAGAUGAUGAAGAACCCGAGAGGGAGAGAAAUCGGAGGAAGAGGUGCAAGAGGCAGCCAGUGUUUUUCGAGAUUGACAGUAGUAAGACAAACUUUACGGCGAAGGAGGCUUGACAAUGGUGAAGAGGCAAGCUAAACUGAUUUAGAUUUUGUUUUUAGGUUAUUUGGUUAAUUUAUUUCCUUACAAAAAAAAAUUUAUUAACCAAAAUUGUAUUUAUAUAUAGGCGUCAAAAUAAAUUGUUUAUAUA